Molecule: long non-coding RNA, 1763 nt
Filed under: Daucus carota (carrot)
Lineage: Eukaryota; Viridiplantae; Streptophyta; Magnoliopsida; Apiales; Apiaceae
Description: long non-coding RNA (DCAR_LNC001232)
Source: RNAcentral
UUUGUUUUUAUUUUACAUGUUUAGUGGUAAUAGUCGUAGUUAGUAUCACGAGCAUUUGCAUGAAUUAUGAAGUUAAGCCAAGUUAAUUGCCUAUGAUGAGUUAUGUGCGUAGUUCUUGAUUAGUAAUUUCAAUUGCAAUGCUAGGUUAGUACUUGGAAAUUGCUUGUGUUGGAAAUUGUAAUUCACAUAUGUUCUUGAGAUAGGAUUUAGACGAAAUUCCAUGAAUUCUAGGAUUGAAUUGAACACCCUUCAGCUUAGGUCUGUAAAUCUUAAGUUUGGGGGAACUGAGGAGUAGAUAUCCCUUUCUAAAAAGAAUGAAAAGAAAAAAAAAAAAAAAAAAAUAGUAGUAAAUAAAUUCACUAAAAAAAUAAGUGGUAGAAUUAACUAGGUUGAGCUCAUUAGUACUCGAGUAAUUAAGUCUGAGGGGACUUUGUGCCUAACAACCUAAAGCCCUUCGUGGUUUGGGAUUGUUGACCCAACGCUCGCUACAUGGGUACUAGUGCAUAAAUCUUUAGGGAUCUCAACCAUUGCACGGUUAAAUAAACCACUAGAAUAGAGUGAAUAAUUGGUGUGUGAAGUCUUGUGGUGUUCGUAACGCAUUUACACUGCGAAGCGCUCUGACCUUAGACCGAGCAAUUAAUCACCAAUACAAAAAAAAAAGAAAAAAAAAAAAAAAAAAAUAUAGUGAAUAAAAUAGAAGGGUGUGGACAUUCUUUGGGACCUUGGCUUUUAGUUGGACUUGAGUGACGGGGUGUUAGUUUUAAACUUUUACGAUUCUUGAUUGGGAUUCUGUGGGAGUAGUAGUUUUUGUCUUGUCUCAAUAAAAGAGCAUGCUUGCACACACUGGCACUCCACACUUGUAAAUAGAAGAGUAAUUGACUUGGUAGAGGGAGAGAUGAAAUUCGAGAACAUUAGCACAAUCUGAGGUAUUAUAAUUGGCAAGGCAAUUACUUCAUAGUUCACUCAUUCAUCACGUAGUUGCAUUCAUGCAUUGCAUUGUAUUAUUGUUAGUGUCGUUGACGCUUGAGGACAAGCAUCAGUUUAAGUUUGGGGGGUGUGAUAAGUGGUAUUUAUACACACUUAUAGGCCUUCAUUUCCACUUAAAUUGGUUGGUUGUACUUAAGUGUUUAGUGUCUUUUGAUGUGUUUUUAUUGUUUUUCUGUGCAGGUCACGAGUUGAGGUGAUGAAGUGAUUUUCUAUCAUUUUAGGUUGGUUUUGGUGCAUUAAUUGCAAGAAUAGAGAAUUGUGGAUUCAUCGCGACUUGGGAUUUUGUGGGUAUAUCUUCUACAAACCCUCACGAGAGCACACUCGUCCACUAGAGCUAUCUAGGGGUUUAAAGGGCUUGUUGCAUAUGCUAAAUGCAACCGUGAUCACCUACGGAAGUGGUACUAGAAGCGAGGAAGGACAUGCACGCGAGAACGAGCUGAACACGAAGAAACAGGGCUGCCAUCACAGUUUGAUUAUUUCUCACUAUUUUUAUUUUCUCUAUUUUUAUUUUACAUGUUUAGUGGUAAUUGUCGUAGUUAGUACCACGAGCAUUUGCAUGAAUUAUGAAGUUAAGCCAAGUUAAUUGCCUAUGAUGAGUUAUGUGCGUAGUUCUUGAUUAGUAGUUUCAAUUGCAAUGCUAGGUUAGUACUUGGAAAUUGCUUGUGUUGGAAAUUGUAAUUCACAUAUGUUCUUGAGAUAGGAUUUAGACGAAAUUCCAUGAAUUCUAGGAUUGAAUUGAGCACCCUUCAACUUAGGUCUGUAAAUCUUAAGUUUGG